Non-coding RNA from Anas platyrhynchos (mallard), 16802 nucleotides. The record is from RefSeq and is a predicted model, not a curated record. NCBI's taxonomy places the organism in Eukaryota, Metazoa, Chordata, Aves, Anseriformes, Anatidae.
AGCUCGUGUUUUAUUGGUCCCGUCUGUAAUUAUUGGUCCAGGGGACAGAUCCUGCUGCCCCCUGGGCAGGUGAAACACCCCGUUGAAUAAAUAUCAGUGCAAGGAGGGGGUUUCUUAGCAAGUUUAUGCUGUUUGUGUGUACGGACGCUUUCUUACAGCACUAAUACCUUAAGCAAGGUAUGGAAAAGGUUAAACGGAGGCACUAAGCUGAAGGUAUUGAAUUUGCACUGUCUGCAAACUUUAAGGAUCUGAGCAAGGAUAUUAAUUUUACUCUCUUCUGUCGUGGCUGCUCCCUUCUUUUGUUUUAGCCCCAAGACGUGUUUGUAGCACUUGGUUUGCAGGAGCCUCCUCCAGAGCUGGGGAAAGGUACAUCAAAUGCUCAACUUGAUCCAGCGAUUGCUUUCAGUUGCAGCCGGGAGAGCAGCAUUAUACAGUAUAUUUUAAGCAUACUGUGCCAUCAUGGCACAACUUUCUUUUCAGUACUUAUUUGCUCUGAAGUGUAGCAAUUUUCCUGCCACUGACAGCAGUGCUUCAGCUCAAGUUGAUGACAGAGGGAUGUAAUUUGUCUGUUGUUCAUCUCUCGUGUUACUGAAAGAUGAACAAUAGCUAAAGUUCAAGCCUUUGAUGCUACAGUCUGGUGCUAGCUGUUGAGAUUUAUAGGUCUGGUACAUGCUGAACUUCCUGCAGUACAAAUUUCCCAAAGUAGGUCUAAGGAAAUACAUCGGCUUAUGCCAUGGGUGAGGGGACUCACGGGUUGCUUUGAAAUGGUUCUGUUACAUCAGUUCUCUAACUCAGUUGGGUUUUUCUCGGCUACUUCUGAAGAGUUUCAUCGGCUCUUAAGAUAUCUACCAAAUGUUCAGUCAUUUAAGCAUGGCUCACAUGCGUUUGUCAUAGUGUCUGGGAGAUACUUGAAGGUUUUUUCUUUCUGGUUUCAACCCAAGGCCAGCUUUGUUUGUGCGUGUGUUUUCUCUUGAUCUGGCAAGUGUUUUUUUAUUGCCUUAUGCUUUCUUUGAAGGGCUUACUUUGACCAGAUCCAAAAGUCUUCUUCUGACUGCAGGUUUGGCAAAGCAAGGCAAAACAGUAGUACAUGAUGAAUAUAAGUAAGGAGUAAGCACAAACUGCAGCAAAUCAUCGUAAUUAAUAAGUUAGUCUAGCUCUUUUUAAUCUUUUUCUUUUGGAAGUGGAUAAGAAUCUUUCUGCUUAAUGUUUGGUAUGAGAACAUCCCACGUUUCCCUAAAGUAGCCACAAAAAAGGCUGCUGUUCUGUACAAAUUUUUUUGGUACUCUGUCCAGGUUCAUCACUGGGAGCUUUCCAAGUGUGCAGAAUACGAGAACUCCUCAGAAGGCUCCAGGGAUGUUUCUGGAGGCAGCGUUAGGAUGCUAGGCUUUAUUUCUAUACAGAUAAUAGAUGGGGCAAUAUCCCUAUCUUAACGGCUUAAAGCACAGCAGCUAUUAAGACUGAUGACUUCUAAAUACCUUGUUAGUUCUCGUGGGAGUAUAUCUGUUUACUUAGUUUCUGAGGUUAGUUGUGGCUGUGCUACUGUCUGGUGAGCGCCAUCCUCUUUGAUUAAUGGAUCAUCAGAGCUUGCAAGAAAACCUAGGGUUUGCUAGGUGUCUCUUUUAAAAGGAGCACCAAUGUUAAAAUCUUUAAGUGUGAGGGUGAAAAGAACAAUAAAAACUGUACCUACUUUACAGGGUGUUUGUUUUGUGGUUUUUUUUUUUGGUUGUUUUCUUGUUUGUUUUUGUUAAUGGGAAAUUCUUUCUUUUUCCAUUAGAGUUACAGACAUGGAAAGUGAUCAACUCUAGGAGGUACCUAUUAUACCUCCUGGUCAUUAAAGUUGCUCUUAAACACAGGGGAGGCAGAGGUAUCAAACCCCCAAACCUGUGUUCUUAUGAAUCUCCAUAGCAAAAUCUUGGCUAUUGCUCUCCUCAGUCACUCAGUGCUGUAAUUCGCAGUUAUUCUAAAAAAAAUAAAAAAAAAAUUUGAACAGGGCUUUUUAUUUUAUUUUAUUUUUUGAAGAUGGUAAGACAUCCCAAACUGUGUUCCUUAUAACCAACAGGAGGUUUGUGGGAAUAUGAAUGUGCCCCAAGACAAGCUCAAGAGAAGCAGAAUAGAGAUUGGGGUCAGUGAUCUCCUUUAGGCUCUGGGGGCUCUGCUCGUGCUAAAAUGAAUGAAGGGAGCUGGUCUUUCUUUCCUGGAAUGGAAACGGUCUGUUUGGGUCGGCUGCUGGGGAGGAGAUUGCUUGAAGGUGACUCGGGGUGAGUUUCUGUGAAGAUGUGAGAAUGGUGUUUUGUUACACGCAGGUAGAAUUUAGAUUUUUGGAGUAUAAAGUCUAGCACAUCGUCUUGGUAGGUGGUCUUAGAUGCAUUGGGGUGAUGUACUGGAGAAAAUACAUUGUGUAACAAUUUGAGGUGGUGGUUUCGUCCAGUAGCAUGUCAAUUCUUAAAAUAUUUUUACUUUUUGGAAAUUAGACUUUAUUUGCACCGUGUGAAGUAGUGAGAAACUUGCCUAGUCCAGCCUUCAGUGACGCUGAUAAGAAUGCCAGAGGCGAUCCCUUUUGUGUAAACCAAAUGAAGAUGACCCUUUUCAAAACAAUUAGGGGGAAAACAGCAUCUCUGGAGUGCUGCUGUAUUUUGAUGCUUCUGUAAUUGUACAGAAUCUGAAAUGACCAAGUUGGUACUCUUCCUCUGCGAACAUCAGAGGAUUAUCCACACAGGAAAAUGGCUCUUCCAGGCUUUUACAAAUUCACGUGCUUCUGCACUCAGCCAAUUUUAGUUGAUCUGAAAACCUUCAAACUUGCUAGGGACUUAAUCCCUAAUGAGGACAAGUGCCUUUGAUCUGUUCUUAGUGCCAUUUUUAGUUUGGGAAAUAAUCAAAGUUGCAGCGCACAGAUGCAGAGUGUACAUUUUCAGUAAGUUCUCAGUUAAUUGAUAUGCCUGCUGAUUGUGUCUGUCUGUACACUUCUGUGGCUAGGACAGAUCAUUGCAGUUGGACGUGGGGGCCCUGGCGGUGCCAGACACACGCAUUCUGCUGUCCUCGUGCCUUUUUGUUGGGAGCCAGGGGAGUGUGGAAGGACAAAGCCCAGGGAUGCUCAGGAAUGUGCGGGGAUGUUCAGGGGUGCACAGGGUGAGGGCAAAAUAAAUCUAUUUAGGUGAGGCAAAAGGAUGAAUUCUGGCUUUCGUUCUGUUUCCUUAUCCCAGAGAGCUUGUGGAAGCACUGGGGCAGUUUCUGGUCUAAUAUUCAUGUCUAUCAUGGGGCUCUGUUUCACUCCCUCCUCCUUAAGCACCCAAAUCCAGCAUCUGGCAAUGCUGUCAUUUGUUUUAGUCUGUGGGUUGUCUAUUUUUUUUUUUAUUUAUUUUUUUUUUUUGAUACAGGGAGUGGGAGGAAGAGAAGGCUGUGAAGUUGUGACUCUUGUGGUUGGUAGCCCUAAUGAAGGGGCUGCAGCUCGCGGACUUCCCCGUAAAUUGGCGCCUGUGUAUGCUGUUACUACUUCUGCAUCUGUCUGUCAGAAAUGCAAUGCGUAAAUGAAUGACUUCCUUAAAACACCACAGUAUUUUAAGCUCCUCUGUCUGUGUGUGUGUGUGUGUCCGUUUACGUAUGCUUAAGAUUAGGGAUUGCAGGAGGAAUUUCAAGAGUGACUUUCUCAACCCUUCAGCUGAACCCUGAGCUUUUAGUAACUGCAGUUACAUAGAUAAUGUGUGCUUGGGUGUGUAUAUAUGCUGCUUUCCCUGCUGUUGAUUUUUCUCUGUGUAUUUCUAAUAGGCUUCAAAAGUGGCAGGGAGGAGGUGCUCAGAAGCAAGACAGCAUGCUCCAUGUGGUGUUAUUAAGGUCUGAAAGAGUAGUCUUGAGCUGUUACUCUGAUUUUGGGUUACCAGCCAUGCAGCCCAUGCCCAUCUUGCUGGUGUGAGCUGUUGUUUUCAUGGGUGAGGUGCCUGCAGCACACCUGAAGGAAUGGCCAACUGCACCAAAACUGUUGCAUGCAAUCAGUGGCUAAUUACCAAGCGUCCUCUGGCUCAAAGCUCAUCUGGAAAUGAAGCAGCAGAAGUGUGUGGGGGGAAUGGCAUACAUGGGUUUGGCACAAAACAGGAGGGGAAAUCCUCUGGUGUUGCCCUCCCCACCUGGAUUCUGCUUGGGCUGAGGCUUUUCUCCCUCCGAGUGCCUGCAGGCUGGGAGCAGGUGGGUUGAGGAGUUGCCUCCCUUCUCGAUGCAGCCUUUCCUCGUACCAAAAUCAUGCUGCCCCCAAGCGUGUGAGUUGCCCUAAGUGCUGUAGUUAACCCACGUGGCUCUGAUGCCAGGCUCAGAGGACCUAAUUUUGAUGGUUGGGGUGGCAAGCUGGAAGGUGUAGAUGGGAACACAGAUGUCGUAACAGACAAACCUACAGGCUGUAGCGUGGAUGAUGCGUGAAUGUCAGAUAAAGAAGGAACCUGCCUGAAUUAGUUGCACUUUUGAGGGCUUUCCUUCAUUUCUAAUAGUUUUAUUACUAACAGCAUUCACAGUGUCUUCUUGUGUGCUGUUCCUUUUGUCGUCAUCUUGGAUAUCACAGGUAGCUAGAGAACUAUUGCAGACCAGGUUUGCUUGGAUUGGGAGAUGAGGCUUUCUGUGGGCUUUUAUUGAGUCUGUGAGUACUAGUUCCCAUCUUUGGUUUAGAAAACGUGUUGCCCUUUUUCUGUUAUAACACCAGUUUCUAGAAGCUCUCCCUAGACCCAGCUAAGACCAGGUUCACAUUUCUACUUGAUUUUUUAAAAAUGCUUUUUGGGGGAAAAAGGUAAUAAGGUGCUCUAAGUGUGUGGGUUUUGGCAAAUAACUGGCUGAGGAAGAACUGUGUAGCCUCUCGGCAUCAUUUACGCCUUCUUUUUCUAUUGCCUUUUAAUUCGGUAAUGCUGAAGUAACUGUUUUGCUGAUUAUAUCUCUGAAAAUAGAGCUUCUCUGAAAAAGCACGCUCUCUCUAAAAAUACACGGUAGUGGCAGACACGGUCGCGAGGACUGCAGGGAGCGGAGGAGCGGCCGUUCUCACGGCGGAUGGGGUCACACACAGCCCUGCAGCACUCCCUUCUGUACCACUGGCCAAAGUCGGUAGGAAUGAGAUCUCUCCCCAGCACAAAUGCUGUACAAGUUUAUAUUCUUUAGCAGGAAUUGCAGUGCAAAUCCCUCCUCGCUCAGCCUUUGACUCCAGCUCUUUUGCCAAAGUGCUGCUUGAAAAUAAAACAGGCAGAGUGGGACUGACGUGGGUUUAGGUGUCAGGCUGAAAAAAAAAGAAAAAUGCUGCUGGAAAAUCAGCUUUUGAAGCUGUUGCAAAUCCAGAGCAGCAUGUGUAACGUAGUUAAGGUUUGACUUUUAAGAAACAGAGACAACUUUAAUGUCCUCUCAAAACAGUUGAAAUUUUGCUUUCUUUGUGGGGUAUUUGACACGCUUCUCUAACAGUCUAAUUUCUGUAUUUUUUUUUUAAUCUCUAGAAAACCUUGCAGAUUACCUUAAAAUAAAAUAAAUUAAGCUUUGUUUUUGAAAUGCACCUGCACUUGUCAGCUGCUUUGAAAUGAAACAUUCCCAGUCUUUUUGGUGUUGCUUAAGGGGGAACUGCAUACAAAUUUUUCCAUUAAAAGUACUUCUGGACCUAAACCGCGCUCUCUUUUUUUUUAGGCAUUGGAAAGUCUCAGAAGUGAGGAAAGCCAAAACAAACAAACAGACAAAAAAAAAAAAAAAAGCCAGGUUCAUUUUAACCAGCAAAUACAAAUUUGUUGAAAUGGGUAUCCAAUUUAAAAUGCGGUGAUGUAAAUAAUACAAAACGUAGCAUGAAUGAAUGUGCUGGUGCAUUGCAUUGGGGAGUGGAAGUAGCACUAAGCUAUAAUGUACAUGGUGAAAGUAUCCACGUAGCAGAAAGCAGGAUAACCAAAUGCUUUUUUCUAAGUUUACUGUGGUAAUUCAUUAGACAAGGAUUCCUCAUGCCCUUGCUCAAGUGGAAUUUUAACCAGUUUUGCUCAGUGUGCUGAACUACCAGACUGCUAACAGGUGCUUUCAGGAUCAGCAAUGUAAGAGUGGGUUAGGUUUGCAGUGCAGGGCGAUGAUAUGGCAAGUAACUGUGGCAGUCAUGUGAAAUGUACAGAGAGGCUUUUAGAAGCUUGUUAGAAAGCUUGGUUAUUUCAGCAGUUGAAAGAUACUAAAGCAUCAGGUGAAAUCCAUCAUAUGUCCAGGUAAAGAUACAAUAGCUGAUGAAUAAGUGGAUCUGUUGUAGAUUUCACAAGGGCCCUGGCCACCUUUUAGCUAAAACAGAAACAAACCAAACAAAAAACCCUUCAGUGCUGCUGUCUGAGCAGCGACCGCAGAGCCCUGCCUUGGGGACGUCGGGCACUGGCGGCGAGGCAGCCCGCGGCUCCCUGAGCCCCCUGGGUUUUCCUCCAGAACUGUAAACAAGUGCUGUAAGGAAAAACCAAAGCGUUGCCAUUUCCCUCGCACACAAACACUCUUUAUAGAAGCCGAAAAGCUCCAAAGCAAGCGUGCUGUCUGAAAUUGUUUUAUUCUCUUUUAAUGGCAGUGGUCCGAAGUAGCUGUUAUACCUGAAUGGGGGAGGAGAGCGGGGAUGAGCCCUCCGACCCAUCUGGAAGCCAGCAAGUGGGGCUAAAUAACUGUGCCAGCUGGGUUUUGGAGCUAGGACGUAGGAAUUUUGUGGUAAGGAAAAGAGCUGGAAAAACAUUGAGGUAGGAAAUGAAGAAGGGAGGGAAAGCAGGGUGAGAAAGAGUUACCCAUCUUCUCAUUACAUCAGGUAGGAAACAGAUUCAUUUCUGUAGGGCCAGCUGCUGGGUGAGUUUGGUGGGUUCAAGGGUGGGAAAUAAUGCUUCUCUUUGAAACGGGGCUAGAAUUAGGAAAUAAGAAAAUUUGCCCUUCUUAAUAGUAAAUAACACAUGUAGAAAGGCACUGAAGCACAAUUUGAUCAAGGAAAAGAGAGAGCUGAGGAGUGGCAAAGAAAAAUUGUGUAUUUUCUUUAGAGCAGAAGUGCUGGAGCAAAAUGUGAAAGAGUGGUAGUGGUUGGGUUUGGGGGCACUGUGGUCUUGGUUUUCUUCAACUUCCAAGUCAGUUAAAAGAAACUGAGUGUGGUGUAAAUUAAAUACAUUGUAUUCUUGAAUUUGGAAAUUGAAAUCUAAGAGGUUUUAUUUCCUUAACCUUAAAAAAGGAGACGUUUACACCCGUGGUUGUCUAUAGAGUUCUGUUUCAGAGUCAGUGUUGGUUCUUGGGUGUGCAUCCCAGAAGAGAUCCACUGUCAGCACUGCAGUAAAAUGGCAUAUAAGCACUGUGUUUGUUUUUAUUCCUAAUGGACAAUAAACUAGUUUCCUCAAGCUACUCGAAAUACUCCUUGUAAACUAAAGUGUCCAGAUCAAUUUCUCAUUCACAUCGUAUUAAAACUCGGUGAGGAAGUUGGGAAAACAUGGUUUUGAUCAAAGUGCUGCAUGAGCUGGCGAUCUACUCCAUUAAUCUUUAAGCUACUUCAUAAAAUUGCUGCGGAGAACCCAGUGUGUUCCUGCUUCCAGAGGAAGCUUUAUCCCACCUGGGUGCCACACGGGCUCCCGCAGCACCACGAUGAGAUGGGAGCUUUACUGGGACCAGGGUUGGGGUCUUGGUUCUGCUGUAUUUAUCUGGAUGACGGUUUCCUAGUGAAAUACCAGCUUUGUUAAAUUUCUACUAGGAAGAGCUGUCUGCAUCUAAAAUUACUUGUGUACGCUGGCCUAUGCUGUGUGUUAAUGCCCGUGUUUUCAUUGCCUAGUCAGUUCAUGCUAUAUAUCACAACUUCAGGUGCUUUGGUGGUGUGCUUAAUCAAAAUGCGUUGUGUUUUCCCCCCUAAAGAAACAAGUGCAAGGGCACAGCUCUGAGACAUCAGGAAUUCCUUGGUGGAUCCGGUGGUAGAUGGCUGGUUGCUAGCAUUCAGCACGUAAUUCUUCAGGAGUAGUUAAGCUGCUCUCAUGCUGUAGCCCAUUUUUCAUAAACCCAUUUUAAACUUUUAUACAGUGUCUUUUCAGAUCUCCCUUCUAUCAAGCUUCUGCCUGUGCAUCUUAAUGAGCAGAAGACCUCAGAUCAGUGUUUAAAUCAUCUGGUUCCCUCCGUUAUGUAUGUGGCUGUAUCAAGAUAUAUAAUCACGCACUCUAUUAUAAACUUACUCCAGGAGAGGUGUUCAUCUGAUCAGCAGUGCUUUCGGCUGGCAGCGGCAGGCAGAUGCUUUGAGUGCUGUUGCAAAUCAGUAGUAUUGUUUCGGAGACGCUGUCGGAUGUGCUAUUUCUGUCGUGCCGUGAGAAUAAAAGCUCUGUGUCUUGCUGGUGGGGGAAAUGAAACACGCGAGAAGCGGCCAACACAACAUAAAACCUCCCGGAGUGAGAAGUGUGCAGCCCGUGUGCCGGCAGGACCGUCCCGUAAGGGUGAAUGGUGUGCUUCAAGGCAGAGGUGAGGGUGCUGGGGAUGGUGUACCAGCUGAUUUGAGGCUGAAGGGAGGAGAUGUACUGCUGAGAGAGGUGAUAAAAGAUGUUAUCAGGAUGCACCGGCAAUUUUAGCCCAAAGUGUGGAAGGAGGCCCUCAUCCAAAGUAACAUGAAGCUGUUAGUCGUUCUUAAGGCAGGUUUUUUGUGACUUAGGGGAAAGGUGGUGGUCUCAGUCAGGACCCUAGGGGAUGAGUGUGGUCAACGCUUCCUCCUCCUCCUCCCCAGGCAGGGGGAGGAAGAGCUGCCUUCAUCCCCAGAGGUGAGCUGCUGCUGGACAAAGCACGCUGGUGGCAGUGGUGCGUUGGCUGCUGGGGCAGUCUGCUGGGCUGGGAACGUGUUGUGGAAAAGCAGCAGACUCCUGUACCAAUUUAAGUGGAAAAACAAGACUAAUGGCCAAAUUUGUCGUCUUCAUGUUUUUCACUUGUUGUGAAAAAUAGCCCUGUGCUUCACCAUCUUCCUGGCUUUACCAUCUCCUUAAUACAACUGCUCUGACUUUUACUGAUGGCUUCUUGCGCCUAAUCAGUUCUUAAUGAAGCAGAGGGGUGUAUUUUAUUCUGUCCUGCAUGGGCUUCCUUUUGUCACUCUUUGUUUUCCCUCCACUCCGUUUCCACUCCAGGCUAAAAUUAUUUCCAGCUGAGAAGGGCUGGAUGCGUGUUGUUGCACAGCAAAAUUGUAAAUGGCCCUACAGAGUUGCUUGCAAACAGCAGAACUGAUUUUCCCUCUGUUUCUCACCUCACGUGCAUGCAAGGAAGGGUCAUCUGGGGUCAGACCCAAAGGCUGGCUGUCCUGGUGCCCUGUCCCCAGACCGGUGGCCAAGAGCAACCUCUGUAGAGGAGGGUUGGAAACGGGCAAGGGGGAGAUGCUUGUGGUGGGCUCGGAUGCUUCUCGUGUGGGUGCUGUAAAAAGGCUUGCCAGCUCCCCUCUGAGGUGUAAGCGGUGUGGCAGGAGGAGGCUAAUCAUUAUAGAUCAGAUAUUAGCACGAUGCUGUUGGGUCUGUGGGGUGAACAGACGGACCCCUUUGCGCUUUCUUCUCGAACUGUUUUGAUGGGAAUGUUGAUUAGAGACAAGGUAAACUUGUUUGUACUUUAUUCAUUAAUGACAAACUAUAAGCUGCCCUGCCUCCCCUCCCCACAGGCAAGGCACUUGAAGAAAAGCCAGGCAAUUAAAGUACUUAAGACAGUAAUUACAGUCAAAUAUACAACAAAAAUAAAACCAUUGCACAGGAUUUUUUUUUAUGCUUGGUUUUGUUCUCUUCGUUUAUUAAACCACAACUCUUGCCUCACGGUUGAACAGGAAUGUCUCAAUUGGUGGCACCAAGGCGUGCGACAAGCUUGCCUCGGUUCACUUGGGUGUUUAAUAGCCUCCCUGAAGAGGAGCUCUUACCGCUGAGGUCUUCAUGGCUCUGAAAUCUGCUUUUUAGAUGUAUCUUCAGGUAUAUGAAGCUGGCACACCCCCGACUCUUAGCACUGAUCGGUAGGGGCAUGAAAGCAAAAGUCUCGUGGAACUUUUUCUUUCUCAUUUUUCUGAUUCUCACUGUAUGUGGAAGAGAUUUCCGAGGUUACUGCGAUGCUUAGGAGGGAAGACUGAAUUGCUUGGCUUCAAAUGUUUUAAUUUACCCGGUGCAUUUUAACAUUCAGAAAUAAGCAUCCACAAACUCGGGUUGUUGUGAAUCUAUCUAAUGAGUUAGCAUCGUACAGCAUGAGCCUGCGUGUGUGCCAGCUGAACGUAUUUUAAGUGGAAUUCUUAGCAACUUGAGUAUUCCAGAUAAAGUGCGCUUUAAAGAGAGAGAAACGUAGCAGUAAUGAGAUCCAGCUGGUGUACAUAAACCUUUCACAUUACAUUACAUAAUUAAGUUGGUAAGUAAUGUAUGGGGAAAAGUUCUUGUUGCUUAUUCUUUUGUACUGGAGUUUUACAAGGCUGUAUAAAUACUGUAAGUAUUUAAUGGGGGAAAAGCAGGAUUAAAAGCAAACAGCAGAAGAUGGAUGGUAUAAAAACGUCAUAAAACAAUCGUGCAGUAUUACCCUUGUGAUAUUUAAUAUCAAAUGACUGAAACUUAACAGUAUUCUCUAUGUUGGAAGCGAUCUUUUAAGAUCAUUUUCUAAUUGAUCGGUUUGAUUACCAUGAUUGGUUUAAAGGUGAAUUCCUUUCUGCUGAACAAUAGCAGAGGACGCAUCCCCCCGAGGGAUGUUUUGGCCAGGCUUUCUGAUUCAGUGAAAUCUACACCGCUGUGGUAUUCAAAGCAGGGUACAGGCUCAUAGGCUCCUUACCAUAACUUAACAACCUGUUCUCUUUUUAACAAACUGUAAUUAAAGAAACAUAAACUACAUCUUCAUUUAGUUCGACUGCAGAGCAUGGGAGAGGAAUGUGGGAAGGAAUUCUUCGUACCGCUGUGAAUGUAGCUGCCUACCUUGCAGUUGUUUCAUAAACAUCCUAGAAAGCUUCUGAAAAAUACCGAAUGUGGAAUGUGCCAAAAAUGGUUAAAACGCUAGACUCCGUCCUCUGGCAGGCAAGCCCUGGCAAAUCUUCUCUUGAUGUUGCUGCCCUCGGCUGCCCUCCUUUCUUUGCUGGAGCUUUUUUGCUCCCUUGCGGAGUCAGCAAAAGGUACGACGGUGUGCCCAGGCUUCAGCAGCUGUGCUGAGCCUCGCUCCAUGGCUUUUGGGGGCCGUCAUUGUCACCAGUGCCAUACUGCCUGGUCGGGGACCCAGCAGGCAGGUGGUCCUGCUUUGACAGCACCCCUGGGGAGAGGGAUGUUUGCAAGGAGCAGUCCCAAAAUGCCCAGGUGUUUGCUGAGCACUGGCUGAGCUGGAGCCCUCAGCUCUCGUCAUUCAAAAAGGGUGGUCAGGCAGGUAUGGUACCGUAUUUAAAGCUUAGCCUGUUGCUCUUGUGAAGAGUGUAAAUUAGGAUAAUUGCCCUGUUUUUAAAUAAUGAGACAAUCUAUUUGAGAUGUCUCAAUACCUGUUAACCAGUUAAGAUGACAACUUAAUUUCCAGCUGCUGUUACCGGUGCUGGCCUCGAGCUGCUUGGGCUGGGCGCUGUGCUAUAACGUGAUGUUGCCUACCCCAGAAGGAAAAGGGAGUUUUGAACCAUACAUAAACUUUCACUUGCAUGAGAGUUACUCAGUGAGAGGUGAAAGGAGCACUCGGGAUAUAAGCGAAUACAAAUAUCUUCUGGUUUUGUGGGUUUGUAAGUUCCCAUAAAUCAGUCGGCAAGUUCCCAGUCCCUGUGACAACCACAUGUCCCAUGCUCUGACAUCGCAGCCACCACAAAGCCCUGGCGAAGGGUGCAAUCAGCCCGUAACGAGAGUGGCAAGUCAGAUGAGUGGCAUUUAAAAGGCGGGGUGCUGUCCUGCACAUUUCUGACUUGUUUUUUUUUUUUUUUUUGCAGACUGUCGGUGUACCGACAGACUUUUAAAGUGUCCUUGCAGGUUGACAAAGCAACAAAAAUCCACAGUGGGACUUUCUGCAGAAAAAAAAAAAAGGGGGGUGGGGUGCUGAAAUCCUUUAGUGGCUUGUUCAUAAGGAUUUGGAGUGACUCGGUAUUUUGCGCUGCUUGCUUUUAAGGAAAUGUUUGUGUUAAUGAGCAUUUACUGCGAAACACAGAAAAGAAAGUAGCUAAAAGUGAGGAGGGGCUCAGCGAGGCCGGUCUCGUGGCUUCUGGACCUGCCAGGCGGUGGGAGCAGCAGCCAGUGGUGCUGGUUGGGAUGUCCAUGAACAUCCAGCACCUCAUGGGCUCGUGCUGCAUGAAAUGGCCUCACCGGGGGCUCACCCCGCUGGGGCUCCCUGCCCAAAGACCCGGGCUGACCCCACUCGGCUGGAGAGCAGGGGGAUCGCGGCGCGAACAAGAGCCGCUUUGUUCUGCAUCCUGGAUGCACUCUGAUUAAACCCCAUAGUCAUGAGGAUGGAUUUACUGGUGCGCUCUCGCUCUUUUUUUUUGCAUUGCACAACAGCACAAACACCCAGCGAGCUAGCAGAUUUAAUCCGUGUUCCCUGAGGAUUGUGAAAUUCUGGCUGUGUAUAAAUUUCCUGGCUGAAUUUGGAGCAUGAUUUAUGAAGGGGACCUUGCCUCUUGUACAAAGUAGGACUUCCCUUCCUGCAGGACCGCAAGGCAAAUGUUCUCAGUCUGCAGACUUCUUCAGUCUGCUAUCCUUAACAUGGUUUUGGUUCAUCUUCCCUGCUGCAUGCUUGCUUACUGAAGCUGUUUAACUGAAACGCAAAAUAAAUUUAUUUUCUUAAGCGUUUGGGUCUAGUGUUGGCUUACAGGAAAUGCAGAGCAAUGAAUGCAUGUUUUGCACUGUUCAGGAGCUUUCUAAAAUACUCAGAAGUCUGCUGUGUUUUUUUGGUUUUGUUUUUUUUGUUCUGUUUCCUCAAUCUGCUGUUAUAAGUGCACUUUCUCUUGCUAAUCUGCUGCCUGAAAUACUCUUUGUUCAGGAAGGCAAGUCUAUUUCUGUUGUAAUCAGGGCUAAGAAUUCAGCUGCAGGGUCACUCUGUGGUACUGCAGAGUUCACUGACCACGUUUUGCUGCUGGCAGUCCUAGCUUUGGCCCCUUUACACAGAUCAAUGCCAGGCUAACCCCAUUUAUUGCUACUACUGAAUCAAAACUCUGCUGCUCCUAUUUAAUUUAGCUCAAAAUAGACAUAAUGCAAACAAGCGUUAGCAUGGCAAAAGAGCUAGGAGAAGGGGGGGAAGAGAAAAAAGGCAUUCAGUUGUUUGGGUUUUGGUUUGUUGUUUUUUUGUUGUUGUUGUUUUUGUUUUAAUUCAAAAUACCAAAUGGUGCCAGGCUUCAGAUGGGAGGAAUUAGCUUGCGCUGCAUCGUUAGGCCCUUUAUAAAAAACAAUAGUCAUCAUUGAUUGUAAUCUGCACGCGAGUAUUAGAGUCUAUCUGGCUGUCUUCAGUUUCCUUUUUGUGUUUAAAAGCCUUUUCUGGUGUCACUGCUACUGCUUCAGCUUCGCCAUGCGUUCAGCCUUCUUCUGGGUGUUGAGUCCCAGUGAUGCAUCCCUGGUGUGCUUCCUUUUGGCCCCACCAGGCGAGCCUCCAGCCUUACUGCUGGGUACCCACCACCAGCUACCCCUGCUUCAGCCUGCUAGAAACCUCCAGACUUGCUUGUGGUCAAGUGAAAUCGCUGUUGGCAGGAGUAUUAUUCUCCAUGGAGCUACUCGGUGCUGAGCCCUUUGCAAGGUCCGUCGCGGUGAGGUGGGUCACAAGGUUUCGCUGAGGCAGGCGUGUGGCAGGUAAGAGUGCUGUGGCUGCUGGGCCUCUUGACAGAAAAAGGUAGUUUUUUUCUGUACCUGUGGAUCACUUUGGUACGAGAAAAUGUUGGGAUUGUCAGGACGUUGCUUGGAGUCGAGAUGACAGGACCUUUACAUUGUGGUUGGCAUCCCGCCACAGUUUCCAGCUAGGACUGGGUGUAUAAAUUCCACCGCCACACCUCAUUCCACACGGCUUCGCAGAUCUGUGGGGGAAGGCAUACCCUCACCGCCUGCUGUCUUCUGGGCUGAAACCCUGUUCCCUCUGCGAGGCAGCACGGGUGGAAAUCCAGAGAUUUGGGGUUUCUGCUGAAACAUGAGGCAGUCUCUCCACAUGUCCUCCCACACUGCCCCCUCUGCCCAAACUAAUCCCCUUCGGUUCUGCGUUCAGCAGAAAUCAGGUGCCCAGCCCAGGUACGUCUAUAACGGGGCCACAGAUGACAGCUACAAGACGAAUCCAUAAUUUAGGAAUUGUUGGUGAAGUUAUUUUCUGCUCCCUGCUGCUAGAUGCUCAUCGCAGGACUUGUGAAACUUUUCCUGUUUGUUCCAAGUGCUCUUGCUCGUGUCUGUCACUUACAAUUCAUCUGUUCCUGAAGGCAAGCUUUUGUUCCAAAGGGGAGCCCAAAGCCUGACAACUUAAAUGUUUUUUGUGUUUCACCACCCUUCUCCACACUCUUGCAGAUUAAACGCCGCCUCCUCCAGCCUACCCUUUUCUCUUUUGGCAGGGCUUUGUUGCCCCAACAGGGGAUGCUUUGUCUCCCCUCUCCCACUCCCCAGGCACACUUGGCGUCCCUCUGCCUUCUCGCCUCUCACAGGCACUGCAGCCUCCCUGCUUCCCUCCACUCUGUGCCGGGAGGGAGCUGCUGGUGUCCUGCACCGCUUCCAUGGCCUUUCCCCCAUAUUUUCCUGCAUCCAGAGAAAGCCCUCUGCAGGUGCUAUCUUCCAGACUUUGUCUGGAACCGCUCUUUCAAGCCUUGAGAUGUGUCACUGUGGGUGACCAUCCCCUCUUCAGCCCCUUCAGCUGCUGAGCUUUUCUCUUGUGAUGGUUUCUCCCACUUUUCAGGUGUCUGGAAUGCAGUGGUUUGGUUUGCUUUUUCACGUAAAAGCAGUACUUUUGCGAAGAAGGGUUAUUUUGCUCCCUCUGAUUAUUGCAGGGGUAAGGAAGCGUGUCCUCUGUCCUGGCCACUGAACAUCAGCAGCCUGCCAUGUGCUGCAUCGGGUGGGCACCACUCACAGCAUCCAGAGCUGUAUUCCCAUGUGUGCCUAAGGAGAAAGCCUCAUGGGGUCCAUCCUCUCUAAAGAAGGGACAGGGUCUUAAUCAUUGUUUGCCUUUGUUUGUUUUGGUGUGUGGUUCAUUUCUUCUUUUUUUGUAUGUGUGUGGUUUUGUGUGUUGUGUUUCUUGUUUUUUUGUUUGUUUUGGGUAGAGGUAAGUUUUUGUUCUUUUACUUUGUGUAGAAAACAGUUCCUUAACCUAUUUUUUUCCUUGGAAAUCAAGCUGAUUUUGCUCUAGUGAUUACAUUUUAGUAACAGAUCCCAAAUUACUCAGUCUUCUAAGCACUUAAUUAUCAUAUACUCAAACUGCUGUCUUAGACAUUUUGAGAUUCUCUCAGAUCUUGUGGUCUCGAUCCUUCCCUAAAAUUUUCUUCUCUAUUACAGAAGGCAGUGUAGUUCGGAGGUGUCAGUUUGGGACCUGAGCUGUUUAUAAAGGAUGUGUCCCCUUGUUGACAUGCUCUUACUGGUUACUACUAGUGGUUGCUACCACUCUAGGUAGUGGAUUUGUUUCCUGCAGCUUUAGUUAGAUGAAGUCUUCCCCCAAGACUAACGCAAGAUUUCUUCAAGUAUUGUUUUGAAGGAGAAUAAUUUCACAUCAAGCUUACUGCCUCAUCAGUGGUUAAAUUAGGCUAACCUCUUGGCAAUGUCCAACUUCUCCGAGAACCCAGUUACAGAACAGCCUACCAAAGAGAAAUUUCAUACCUGAGUGGUUACCACACGGUGGUUGAACCAGCUCUGGCAAGUGGCAGUGAAUGUCCUUAGGUUGUCUAACGUAGCUUCUGCAUGUUUUAAAAAUGAGGUAACUGUGUGUGUGUGUUAUAAGUCUGGCUUUCAUUUUCCUGGUGAAGCUGCCCAUUGCCCUUUUUCUUUCGAGCUGUCCCAGGAUCAUCUCAUUAGGUCUUUCUUCUGUGUUGUUGGCUUCUGCCAUAGCACAGCUAUCUUUAGCAUGACUUUGUUAACGUGUCUGUAUUUCUUGCUUGUCAAUUUUAUUGAAACGUUCACUGAACAUUUGAGGCAAUAAAAGCCAGUAGCUAGAGAAAGUAAGAUAGGCAUUUCUCGUCGAUUAACCAAUGUCGUCUUUAUGCUUCUUUAGACACUUUCAGUUCCUUUUGUUGUCCAAGCACUGGCAAUUCACGUGUUAGUAAUAACCAGAGAAGCACAAAACCAGGCUCAAACAGAACAUGCAAUCCAAGCUAAUGUAUGUUAAGAUACCAAAAUUUUGACUGGUGUUCUGAGUAUGCGUAUGUGUUCUGUUGUGGUGUAGGAUCAAGUUAAAGCCUUUUAAUAUGAAAUAAAAAAUUUAAUGAACUAGUUAGCAGCUGUCUAAAACUAGUUAGCCAGUUGCUAAUUCAUGAAGUUGGCAGUGGUGAUGGUGGCUUCUGUUAGCAUAUAGCACAUGGUUAUAUAGAUUCGUGGUUAAUCUACCCUUGUGGGCAAAAAAUGCUAAAAUUAGCUGCCAAAUGGAUGUUUUUAUCAUAUGAGCUACAAUGACUACUUGGAGAAAUCCCUACAGGUUUGAAAACAAUAAUAAUCAAAACUGUAUUUCUUAGCUUUGGAUCUGAAAGUAUCUUUUACACAUAAUGGAAUCAAAUGAACCAAAUCUAAAGUAUGCUUUGUUCCUAUGCCAUACGGUUGCUGCCUUGCCAAGCACGCUUCUCGCCUUCCAAAGCAGGAUCCUGCGUUCUCCUCUCCUCAAAUCCUGCCCUUCACGUACCCAAAAAAGUCACUGCUUGAGCCUGAUAGUUGCGUGCACGCUGUUCCUUUUCUCCCUUCAUCUCGAAGUGUUUUCCCAGCAUUUAAGAAAACCUCAAAAAAAAGAGAAAAGAGGUU